Hydra vulgaris (swiftwater hydra) is the source of this 2361-nucleotide RNA transcript. RefSeq lists it as uncharacterized. Lineage: Eukaryota; Metazoa; Cnidaria; Hydrozoa; Anthoathecata; Hydridae. The record is from RefSeq and is a predicted model, not a curated record.
CAAAUUAUAAAGUAAGCAAAUACUACUAACAUUUGAAAAACUAGGUAUCUGAAAGAAGAUCAGUAAGAUCUUAUUGUCAGAACCUUAUACUAGUGUAAACAAAAUGUUAUAUUAUAAAGUAACUAUAAGUACAACAAAAUAAAAAUAAAAUAUUCAUACAUAUAUCACUUUGUAGUAUAUAUACACUCUAAAAAAAAAUCCGUUAAAAUAUCAACGGAGUAACUCCGUUGACAGUAACUCCGUUAAACUCCGUAAAGGAUACAGAUUUAAUUGAUACAAAUUAAGGGAGUAAUCCGUUGUUUUACAACGGAUUACUUCUUUAAAUAUAAUAUAACAGAAUAACUUUGUUAAGUUAACGGAGUUCAAGCGUGUAUAAAGGAGUUCAUAAAUAUUACUUUGAACACUUAAUAUUUAUUUGAAACUAAAAACUUAUUUAAAUUAGUGUAUUCAAUUUUAAUUAGUGAAUAUUAUCAUGUGUCUUUAAGAAUGUCUGUGCUAAUCAAAGUAUGGUCUUCUGAUCGAAUUAUUAAGAAGUUAGUUGCCAUCAAUAACAGUGAAGAAUUUGCUGCAAAAGUGCGUUGCAAGUUUGGUUUGAAAUCAGAUCAACUUGUUAGCUUUGUCUACAAAAAUGAUGGCACUGAAGUUGAUGAAGUUGAUUUUGAAAUAAUAAAACAAUUAGCAGAAUCAAACACAAUUCUCAUUCUACUCAUAGAUGGUCAGCAGUAGACUAAUGCUGUUUCGACAAAUUCAAAUUCACCCUUAAUGUUGCCUUCGAUGCAGCCAAAUCAAACUACAAUAACUUCUAGUAUUACACUCUCAGAAUCUAGUGUUUCUGUUAACAACAGCCAUAUAAUGAAAGGUGCAAAUGAGGCGUUUGUUUCAGCUAAUUCAAUUAAAGCCUUUCUUGCGCAACACCCUAGUACUUGUCAAUAUACUGAAGAGAUUGAAUCUGGUAAAGUUUCAAUCUCUACUAGACAGCACAUCAUUCGAGUUGUUGUGCACAAAAUGAUGAGUGUGUAUGGUAAUUAUCCUGAUCGAUAUCAAAAGAUUUUAGUGGCAGCAGUGCUAAGUGAGGCACUGGUACUUCCAGCAUGCAUUUUUUAUGAUUCUACUAAUUAUCAUGGCUUCCUGGAGAGAGGAUUGGAAAAUGCUAGAAGAAAGUUACCUGGUGUUUAUUAAAAUUAGUUAAAUUAAUUGAAUAUAAAUUUAACUGUAGAUGCUUACCAACUUUUUUUUAUAUUAGCAACUUGCUUUGUAAUCUCCUUGUUGUGUGUUAUUGUGAUGUAAUUUCUCCACUGUAUGUCUCGAUUGCAAAUAAUUCAUUUUAGUUACUAAAAGUUUAUUUGAAUCAUUGCCUUAUUUUGUGUCAUACAAGCAGCUACAUUUACAAGCUAUGAAAAAAAGUUUGUUUGGUCUCGUAAAAGGGGACACAACUUAACUUGUUGUGAUACAACUAAACUUGCAGGUACUGAACUAUCUCAACCAGUGGAUCAUGCAGUAGAAUCUGAAGGGUGUCCCUGUGGUUUCAUGUUUUGCGCAUUAUGUUUAGGAAUGAGCAACCUCGAUGAAAUUAAAAAGCUUGAUUCAUUAUCUUCUACACGUGUAGAAGAAGUUAAGGCUUCUACAAAGUCAACGUUUUGUUUUUGGCAGAAUUGGGUUCAUUCAACAGAUCAACCUUCAUUAUCCCGACUGAUGGUUAAAUUUCCAAAGUUCAGGAUUAUUCCAGAGCUGAUUGAUAUGGAAUUUCAAUUAAAAUAUUCAGACUGCAUGGUUGAUAUCCUGAAAACCUUUAAUCAGACUGUUGCAGACCCAGUAUUAAAAUAUGCUUCACUGUCAAAUAGUGAUUACAUCAAAGCUCUAGCUAUAAUGGCAUCUAAAAAACAUCAUGAUUGGAAAGCUUAUUAUGCAUGCAAGCUUUUGUGCUCGCUUCUGCGACAAGGGGGAAACAGAAACGUUCUGCUCCAGAAGUAGCCAAUGAAAUCAUUCGGAUAUGCAGUGCUGAGCAUGGACUGCAAGAUGUUGCAGAAAAGUUGGAGUCCCCUUAUCCGGUAAUAUUAAUACAGGGGAUUGAGGGUGAAAAAAUUCUCUCUAUAAAGAUUGCAUUUGAAAAAACUUUGAUUGAAGCCGGCACAUCUAUUGUAGAAGGCAUCGAUCGUUUAUUCAAGAUUUUUUGGUGUUUUAACAUCGAAUACCAGCCAUCAACAAUCAUGUUCUGGCAGUUUAUGCAAGAUAUUUAUGGGCUGCAGUACGGUUCGUUGCCUAAUGGAGUGGUUGAGCUGCGAUCAACACUCUCUAAAUAUGUUUUUACUUAAAUGUAUCAUUUAUUUAUCUUAAUAUACAUGAAGAUUUACAAUUUUGUUA